GGUAGUGUGGCCGAGCGCUCUAAGGCGCUGGAUUGAGGCUCCAGUCUCCACGGAGGCGUGGGUUAGAAUCCCACCACUGUCA
Non-coding RNA from Pristis pectinata (smalltooth sawfish), 82 nucleotides. Lineage: Eukaryota; Metazoa; Chordata; Chondrichthyes; Rhinopristiformes; Pristidae. The record is from the annotation of a RefSeq genome assembly.